Trichoderma reesei QM6a is the source of this 72-nucleotide transfer RNA. It matches the Rfam family "tRNA". Rfam says of the family: Transfer RNA (tRNA) molecules are approximately 80 nucleotides in length. Their secondary structure includes four short double-helical elements and three loops (D, anti-codon, and T loops). Further hydrogen bonds mediate the characteristic L-shaped molecular structure. tRNAs have two regions of fundamental functional importance: the anti-codon, which is responsible for specific mRNA codon recognition, and the 3' end, to which the tRNAs corresponding amino acid is attached (by aminoacyl-tRNA synthetases). tRNAs cope with the degeneracy of the genetic code in two manners: having more than one tRNA (with a specific anti-codon) for a particular amino acid; and 'wobble' base-pairing, i.e. permitting non-standard base-pairing at the 3rd anti-codon position. Lineage: Eukaryota; Fungi; Ascomycota; Sordariomycetes; Hypocreales; Hypocreaceae. The record is from Rfam.
GCCCUUGUAGCUCAGGGGUAGAGCGUUGCACUUGUAAUGCAAAGGUCCAUAGUUCAAAUCUGUGCGGGGGCA